RNAcentral lists this ribosomal RNA (253 nucleotides) under uncultured bacterium. RNAcentral's name for it is "partial 16S ribosomal RNA". It matches the Rfam family "Bacterial small subunit ribosomal RNA", at positions 524 to 776 of the family's 1533-position model. The record is from RNAcentral.
UACGUAGGCAGCAAGCGUUGUUCGGAAUUCCUGGGCGUAAAGAGUGUGUAGGCGGUGCUCUAAGUUUGGUGUGAAAUCUCCCGGCUCAACUGGGAGGGUGCGCCGAAAACUGGAAUGCUUGAACAUGGGAGAGGAAAGCGGAAUUCCUGGUGUAGCGGUGAAAUGCGUAGAUAUCAGGAGGAACACCUGCGGUGUAGACGGCUUUCUGGACCAUUGUUGACGCUGAGACACGAAAGCGUGGGUAGCAAACAGG